Molecule: ribosomal RNA, 506 nt
Filed under: uncultured bacterium
Lineage: Bacteria
Description: partial 16S ribosomal RNA
Rfam family: Bacterial small subunit ribosomal RNA
Source: RNAcentral
AUUGAACGCUGGCGGCAGGCCUAACACAUGCAAGUCGAACGGUAGCACAGAGGAGCUUGCUCCUUGGGUGACGAGUGGCGGACGGGUGAGUAAUGUCUGGGAAACUGCCCGAUGGAGGGGGAUAACUACUGGAAACGGUAGCUAAUACCGCAUAACGUCGCAAGACCAAAGAGGGGGACCUUCGGGCCUCUUGCCAUCGGAUGUGCCCAGAUGGGAUUAGCUAGUAAGUGGGGUAACGGCUCACCUAGGCGACGAUCCCUAGCUGGUCUGAGGAGAUGACAAGCCACACUGGAACUGGGACACGGUCCAGACUCCUACGGGAGGCAGCAGUGGGGAAUAUUGCACAAUGGGCGCAAGCCUGAUGCAGCCAUGCCGCGUGGAUGAAGAAGGCCUUCGGGUUGUAAAGUACUUUCAGCGAGGAGGAAGGUGUUGAGGUUAAUAACCUCAGCAAUUGACGUUACUCGCAGAAGAAGCACCGGCUAACUCCGUGCCAGCAGCCGCCGUAA